GACGAACGCUGGCGGCGUGCUUAACACAUGCAAGUCGAACGGUAAGGCCCUGCUUUUGUGGGGUGCUCGAGUGGCGAACGGGUGAGUAACACGCGUGUAUCCUGCCCUUCACUUUGGGAUAACUUCACGAAACUGGGGCUAAUAUCGGAUAUAAGCCCCUGCUGCAUGGUGGGGGUUGGAAAGUUUAGGCUGUGGGGGAUGGACUCGCGGCUUCUCAGCUUGUUGGUGGGGUAGUGGCUUACCAAGGCUUUGACGGGUAGCCGGCCUGAGAGGGAGACCGGCCACAUUGGGACUGAGAAAGGGCACAGACUCCUGCGGGGGACAGGUGUGGAAAAUAGUACAAAAUGGGAGAAAGCCUGAUGCAGCAACAACGCGUGCGGGAUGACGGCCUUCGGUGUAUAAAGCGCUUAGGCCUGAAACGGAGCGUGAGUGACGGUAAUGGGUAAAGAAGCACCGGCUAACUACGUG
This 468-nucleotide ribosomal RNA is filed under the name uncultured bacterium. Its description in RNAcentral is "partial 16S ribosomal RNA". It matches the Rfam family "Bacterial small subunit ribosomal RNA", at positions 28 to 507 of the family's 1533-position model. The record is from RNAcentral.